CCUGUUCACCGGACGUGCUACCUGUCCCAGACCUAUUAUUUGACCAUGCUGGGAAAACCCGUAGAAGCCUUAAGACACGGAUCAGUGAGCACCGCAGCAACAUACCGACAGGAAGUGAUGUCACCGAGUAAUGCCUAUGUAUAUUAGGACCUUCCACCCCCACCUGGGAUAUGGAUGCCUGAUGCAGACCUAAGGGUCAAAAUGUUGUUAUAAAUAAAUAUCACCUGGGAGUAUGA
Molecule: long non-coding RNA, 236 nt
Organism: Oncorhynchus tshawytscha (Chinook salmon)
Lineage: Eukaryota; Metazoa; Chordata; Actinopteri; Salmoniformes; Salmonidae
Exons: 3
Source: RefSeq, a predicted model, not a curated record